This 74-nucleotide transfer RNA is filed under the name Blastopirellula marina. RNAcentral describes it as "tRNA-Leu". It matches the Rfam family "tRNA". From Rfam's summary of the family: Transfer RNA (tRNA) molecules are approximately 80 nucleotides in length. Their secondary structure includes four short double-helical elements and three loops (D, anti-codon, and T loops). The record is from RNAcentral. Lineage: Bacteria; Pseudomonadati; Planctomycetota; Planctomycetia; Pirellulales; Pirellulaceae.
GGCUCGGUGGGCAACUGGCAGACCACCUUGUUUCAGACACAGGGAUGCUGUGGGUUCGAAUCCCACUCGGGCUA